GUAAUCUCCAGCUGCAGUAUUUUUCCGUUUGCUUCUGAUGAGAAGCCAACUGCCACCACUGAUAGAUUAUCGAAUAGAUAUGUGAAAAACACCUUGAGGUUUGAUUCUGUACAACGUUUGCCAUGUUUCUGACGAUAUUAUGGAGCUAAUUUGGAAAAAAGUUUGGCGUUGUAAGUGACUGCAUUUUCCGGUCUUUUUCUUAGCCAAACGUGAUGAACAAAACGGAGUUAUUUCAUCUACACAAAUAAUCUUUUUGGAAAAUAAUGAACAUUUGCUAUCUAACUAAGAGUCUCGUCAUUGAAAACAUCCGAAGUUCUUCAAAGGACCGGCUCCUGAUGUUCCUACCUGCUUUCUCGGGGUGGAUGGCCCUGAACUGUCGAAUGAGGUCAGGGUCCAGUAUGUCUUUGGCAGGAACCCAGAAGCGCUCCUCGGGACCGUAGCCUUCCCAGUCCACCAGAUACUGCCAGGACCGCUGCACCCAGCGGGAAUCCAGUAUCCAAUGGACGGUAUAAGCCGGCUGGCCUCCGAUGACACGGGGCGGAGGGGGAGAUAAUUUGGCAAUACGUCCAACUGGCCUCACAACUACGUGUAACCACGCCAGCCCAGAAAUUCCACAUCCGGCUUCUUCACCUGCAGGAUCGUCUGACACCAGCCACCCGGAGAGCUGAUGAAACUGAAGAGUAU
Molecule: long non-coding RNA, 684 nt
Organism: Oncorhynchus tshawytscha (Chinook salmon)
Lineage: Eukaryota; Metazoa; Chordata; Actinopteri; Salmoniformes; Salmonidae
Source: Ensembl